AACGAACGCUGGCGGCAUGCCUAACACAUGCAAGUCGAACGAGACCUUCGGGUCUAGUGGCGCACGGGUGCGUAACGCGUGGGAACCUGCCCUUAGGUUCGGAAUAACUCCCCGAAAGGGGUGCUAAUACCGGAUAAUGUCUUCGGACCAAAGAUUUAUCGCCUUUGGAUGGGCCCGCGUUGGAUUAGCUAGUUGGUAGGGUAAAAGCCUACCAAGGCGACGAUCCAUAGCUGGUCUGAGAGGAUGAUCAGCCACACUGGGACUGAGACACGGCCCAGACUCCUACGGGAGGCAGCAGUGGGGAAUAUUGGACAAUGGGCGAAAGCCUGAGCCAGCAAUGCCGCGUGAGUGAUGAAGGCCUUAGGGUUGUAAAGCUCUUUUACCCGGGAUGAUAAUGACAGUACCGAGAAUAAGCUCCGGCUAACUCCGUG
Molecule: ribosomal RNA, 431 nt
Filed under: uncultured bacterium
Lineage: Bacteria
Description: partial 16S ribosomal RNA
Rfam family: Bacterial small subunit ribosomal RNA
Source: RNAcentral